UCCCAAGGCUAAAUACUACCUGAUGACCGAUAGUGAAGCAGUACCGUGAGGGAAAGGUGAAAAGAACCCCGGGAGGGGAGUGAAAUAGAACCUGAAACCGUGUGCCUACAACCGGUCAAAGCCCCUUAUGAGGGUGAUGACGUGCUUUUUGUAGAACGAGCCAACGAGUUACGGUAUGUAGCAAGGUUAAGUACUUAAGGUACGGAGCCGAAGGGAAACCGAGUCUUAAUAGGGCGACUAGUUGCAUGCCGUAGACCCGAAACCGGGUGACCUAUCCAUGGCCAGGUUGAAGCGGGGGUAAAACCCCGUGGAGGACCGAACCACGUUGCUGUUGAAAAAGCAUGGGAUGAGCUGUGGAUAGCGGAGAAAUUCCAAUCGAACUCGGAGAUAGCUGGUUCUCCUCGAAAUAGCUUUAGGGCUAGCGUCGGAUAUGAGUAGUGGAGGUAGAGCACUGAAUGGGCUAGGGGGCAUAGCGCUUACCGAACCUUAUCAAACUCCGAAUGCCACAUACUAUUAGUCCGGCAGUCAGACUGCGAAAGAUAAGUUCCGUAGUCAAAAGGGAAACAGCCCAGAUCGUCAGUGUAAGUUAAGUGGAAAAGGAUGUGGGAUUUCUAAGACAACUAGGAUGUUGGCUUAGAAGCAGCCACUCAUUAAAAGAGUGCGUAAUAGCUCACUAGUCGAGAGAUCCUGCGCCGAAGAUGUCCGGGGCUCAAACUUACCACCGAAGCUACGGGUUCACACUUAUGUGUGAGCGGUAGAGGAGCGUCGUAAUCGGGCUGAAGUCGUACCGUAAGGAGCGGUGGACUGAUUACGAGUGAGAAUGUUGGCAUUAGUAGCGAGAUGUGGGUGAGAAUCCCACAGGCCGAAUAUCUAAGGUUUCCUCAGGAAGGUUCGUCCGCUGAGGGUUAGUCGGGACCUAAGCCGAGGCCGAAAGGCGUAGGCGAUGGACAAUCGGUUGAUAUUCCGAUACCACUACUGAUCGUUAUUAUCGAUGGUGUGACGGAGAAGGAUAGAGUGUGCUAGCUAUUGGAUGCUAGUCUAAGCGUUUAGGGAGUUAGGAAAGGCAAAUCCGUCCUAACAAUUCUGAGGCGUGAUGGGGAAGGUUCUACGGAACCGAAGUACUUGAUUCCAUGCUUCCAAGAAAAGCAUCUAGAGAGAGAUGUAGUGCCCGUACCGCAAACCGACACAGGUAGAUGAGGAGAGAAUCCUAAGGCCGGCGGAAGAAUCACAGUUAAGGAACUAGGCAAAUUGACCCCGUAACUUAGGGAGAAGGGGUGCCUGUGAGAGCAGGCCGCAGAGAAUAGGCCCAAGCAACUGUUUAGCAAAAACACAGGUCUCUGCUAAAGCGAAAGCUGAUGUAUAGGGGCUGACGCCUGCCCGGUGCUGGAAGGUUAAGGGGAACACUUAGCGCAAGCGAAGGUGUGAACUUAAGCCCCAGUAAACGGCGG
This 1448-nucleotide ribosomal RNA is filed under the name Escherichia coli. Its description in RNAcentral is "partial 23S ribosomal RNA". It matches the Rfam family "Bacterial large subunit ribosomal RNA", at positions 458 to 1933 of the family's 2925-position model. The record is from RNAcentral. Lineage: Bacteria; Pseudomonadati; Pseudomonadota; Gammaproteobacteria; Enterobacterales; Enterobacteriaceae.